UACGGGGGGGGCAAGCGUUGUUCGGAAUUACUGGGCGUAAAGGGCUCGUAGGCGGCCAACUAAGUCAGACGUGAAAUCCCCCGGCUUAACCGGGGAACUGCGUCUGAUACUGGAUGGCUUGAGUUUGGGAGAGGGAUGCGGAAUUCCAGGUGUAGCGGUGAAAUGCGUAGAUAUCCGGAGGAACACCGGUGGCGAAGGCGGCAUCCUGGACCAACACUGACGCUGAGUGAGCGAAAGCCAGGGGAGCAAACGGG
This 254-nucleotide ribosomal RNA is filed under the name uncultured bacterium. RNAcentral describes it as "partial 16S ribosomal RNA". It matches the Rfam family "Bacterial small subunit ribosomal RNA", at positions 524 to 776 of the family's 1533-position model. The record is from RNAcentral.